RNAcentral lists this ribosomal RNA (429 nucleotides) under Actinomycetes bacterium. RNAcentral's name for it is "Actinobacteria bacterium partial 16S ribosomal RNA". It matches the Rfam family "Bacterial small subunit ribosomal RNA", at positions 355 to 776 of the family's 1533-position model. Lineage: Bacteria; Bacillati; Actinomycetota; Actinomycetes. The record is from RNAcentral.
UAGGGAAUCUUCCGCAAUGGGCGAAAGCCUGACGGAGCAACGCCGCGUGAGUGAUGAAGGUCUUCGGAUCGUAAAACUCUGUUAUUAGGGAAGAACAAAUGUGUAAGUAACUAUGCACGUCUUGACGGUACCUAAUCAGAAAGCCACGGCUAACUACGUGCCAGCAGCCGCGGUAAUACGUAGGUGGCAAGCGUUAUCCGGAAUUAUUGGGCGUAAAGCGCGCGUAGGCGGUUUUUUAAGUCUGAUGUGAAAGCCCACGGCUCAACCGUGGAGGGUCAUUGGAAACUGGAAAACUUGAGUGCAGAAGAGGAAAGUGGAAUUCCAUGUGUAGCGGUGAAAUGCGCAGAGGUAUGUAGGAACACCAGUGGCGAAGGCGACUUUCUGGUCUGUAACUGACGCUGAUGUGCGAAAGCGUGGGGAUCAAACAGG